Molecule: ribosomal RNA, 253 nt
Filed under: uncultured bacterium
Lineage: Bacteria
Description: partial 16S ribosomal RNA
Rfam family: Bacterial small subunit ribosomal RNA
Source: RNAcentral
UACGUAGGUGGCAAGCGUUGUCCGGAAUUACUGGGUGUAAAGCGCGUGUAGGCGGCAGACCAAGUCGGCGGUGAAAGCGCCCGGCUCAACUGGGCGAGGUCCGUGGAAACUGGUCAGCUGGAGGACGGUAGAGGCAAGUGGAAUUCCCGGUGUAGUGGUGAAAUGCGUAGAGAUCGGGAGGAACACCUGUGGCGAAGGCGGCUCGCUGGGCCGGUCCUGACGCUGAGACGCGAAGGCGUGGGGAGCGAACGGG